RNAcentral lists this ribosomal RNA (496 nucleotides) under uncultured Glomeromycotina. RNAcentral describes it as "partial small subunit ribosomal RNA". It matches the Rfam family "Eukaryotic small subunit ribosomal RNA", at positions 591 to 1092 of the family's 1831-position model. Lineage: Eukaryota; Fungi; Glomeromycota. The record is from RNAcentral.
CCAAUAGCGUAUAUUAAAGUUGUUGCAGUUAAAAAGCUCGUAGUUGAAUUUCGGGAUUCUAUCGUUGGUCGGGCUAUUGUCUGUACUGGCGUGUAGAAUUUCUACCUUCUGGGGAACUAUCAUGUCAUUAAUUUAGCGUGGUAGGAAACCAGGACCUUUACCUUGAAAAAAUUAGAGUGUUCAAAGCAGGCUUAUGUCUGAAUACAUUAGCAUGGAAUAAUAAAAUAGGACGGUGGUCCUGUUUUGUUGGUUUCUGAAUCACCGUAAUGAUUAAUAGGGAUAGUUGGGGGCAUUAGUAUUCAAUUGUCAGAGGUGAAAUUCUUGGAUUUAUUGAAGACUAACUACUGCGAAAGCAUUUGCCAAGGAUGUUUUCAUUAAUCAAGAACGAAAGUUAGGGGAUCGAAGACGAUCAGAUACCGUCGUAGUCUUAACCAUAAACUAUGCCAACUAGGGAUCGGACGAUGUUAACUUUUCUUGACUCGUUCGGCGCCUUACG